UACGUAGGGUGCAAGCGUUGUCCGGAAUUAUUGGGCGUAAAGAGCUCGUAGGCGGUUUGUCGCGUCUGCCGUGAAAGUCCGGGGCUCAACUCCGGAUCUGCGGUGGGUACGGGCAGACUAGAGUGAUGUAGGGGAGACUGGAAUUCCUGGUGUAGCGGUGAAAUGCGCAGAUAUCAGGAGGAACACCGGUGGCGAAGGCGGGUCUCUGGGCAACAACUGACGCUGAGGAGCGAAAGCGUGGGGAGCGAACAGG
RNAcentral lists this ribosomal RNA (253 nucleotides) under uncultured bacterium. RNAcentral's name for it is "partial 16S ribosomal RNA". It matches the Rfam family "Bacterial small subunit ribosomal RNA", at positions 524 to 776 of the family's 1533-position model. The record is from RNAcentral.